RNAcentral lists this antisense RNA (69 nucleotides) under Kutzneria viridogrisea DSM 43870. RNAcentral describes it as "Kutzneria albida DSM 43870 ASpks TB sRNA". It matches the Rfam family "ASpks TB sRNA". The record is from Rfam by way of RNAcentral. Lineage: Bacteria; Bacillati; Actinomycetota; Actinomycetes; Pseudonocardiales; Pseudonocardiaceae.
CUUGAUCGACCCCAGCCACAGCGGGCGGGAGCGAUCCUGGCCGUAGGUGGCCAACAACGCCUGCGCCUC